RNAcentral lists this ribosomal RNA (462 nucleotides) under Cryptosporidium parvum. RNAcentral describes it as "SSU rRNA". It matches the Rfam family "Eukaryotic small subunit ribosomal RNA", at positions 467 to 960 of the family's 1831-position model. The record is from RNAcentral. Lineage: Eukaryota; Apicomplexa; Conoidasida; Eucoccidiorida; Cryptosporidiidae.
GUGACAAGAAAUAACAAUACAGGACUUUUUGGUUUUGUAAUUGGAAUGAGUUAAGUAUAAACCCCUUUACAAGUAUCAAUUGGAGGGCAAGUCUGGUGCCAGCAGCCGCGGUAAUUCCAGCUCCAAUAGCGUAUAUUAAAGUUGUUGCAGUUAAAAAGCUCGUAGUUGGAUUUCUGUUAAUAAUUUAUAUAAAAUAUUUUGAAUAUUUAUAUAACAUUAACAUAAUUCAUAUUACUAUAUUUUUUAGUAUAUGAAAUUUUACUUUGAGAAAAUUAGAGUGCUUAAAGCAGGCAUAUGCCUUGAAUACUCCAGCAUGGAAUAAUAUUAAAGAUUUUUAUCUUUCUUAUUGGUUCUAAGAUAAGAAUAAUGAUUAAUAGGGACAGUUGGGGGCAUUUGUAUUUAACAGUCAGAGGUGAAAUUCUUAGAUUUGUUAAAGACAAACUAAUGCGAAAGCAUUUGCCA